AGAGUUUGAUCCUGGCUCAGAACGAACGCUGGCGGUAUGCUUAACACAUGCAAGUUGAACGGACUAAUUUGGAGCUUGCUCUGAAUUAGUUAGUGGCAAACGGGUGAGUAACACGUGGGAAUCUACCCAUCAGUACGGAACAACAUUUGGAAACAGAUGCUAAUACCGUAUAUUCUCUAAGGAGGAAAGAUUUAUCGCUGAUGGAUGAGCCCGCGUCAGAUUAGGUAGUUGGUGGGGUAAUGGCCUACCAAGCCGACGAUCUGUAGCUGGUCUGAGAGGAUGAUCAGCCACACUGGGACUGAGACACGGCCCAGACUCCUACGGGAGGCAGCAGUGGGGAAUAUUGGACAAUGGGCGAAAGCCUGAUCCAGCAAUACCGCGUGAAUGAUGAAGGCCUUAGGGUUGUAAAGUUCUUUUAGCAGGGAAGAUGAUGACGGUACCUGCAGAAA
Molecule: ribosomal RNA, 449 nt
Filed under: uncultured Rickettsia sp.
Lineage: Bacteria; Pseudomonadati; Pseudomonadota; Alphaproteobacteria; Rickettsiales; Rickettsiaceae
Description: bacterial SSU rRNA
Rfam family: Bacterial small subunit ribosomal RNA
Source: RNAcentral